GGCAGGAGGAGAACCAGGGAAGAGCAAGGCCAUAAAUACUUAGAGGGAAAAGAAUAUCAAGGAGAAGUGGGUGAUAACAAUAUCAAAGGCUACAUACUCUAGAAGAAUGAGGAUUGAGAAAAGGCCAUCAGAAUGCGCAAUUAUGAGGUCACUGGAAUCUCUCCAGAGAACAGUUUCAGUGGAAUGAUAAGCUCAGAAGAAAGACUACUGAAAGACAGGCACAGCAGGAGACUGAAGGUCUGAAAUCAAAAGGAAGGUUGCUCCUCUAUGCACUGAAGGUUCUCCACAUCCUGGUUGGGAGAUCAGGCUGACAGUAGGAGGUGGGAGUUACCUUGUGCUGGCACAGAAAGAAGUCCUCCUGCCACCUUCCCAACAGAGAUAAGAAAUAGAAGGUGCUCAAUUGGAGGAAUGUCUGGUUCUUUUUCUCACCUGAAGCUGGAAAUCAGGAGAUACAGUAGGAAGUCUUAAAGCUCUCGGUUAAUGGGGAAGUUGCUCUGGGGCAGAUGGAAGACUGGGCCAGACCCUUGCAGUCUUACUUCAGGUGACAUGUGCAGCAGAAGAUGGAAAGCAGGAAAUCAGAGAAGAAAGCUGGGAAAAACUCACUGUUAAUAACAGUGGCCUGGAUGAAAAUUCAGCAAAGGAAACUGAGGAAUGGUCAGACUGGCAGGAGGAGAACCAGGAGAGAGCAGGGUCAUGAAAACGUAGAGGGAAGCCAAUAUCAAGGAAAAGAAGGUGAUCAAUACUAUCAAAGGCUACAGACUGCUCUAGAAGGAUGAAGAUUGAGAAAAGGCCAUCAGAAUGGGCAAUUAAGAGAUCAUUGGUAUCUUUGGAGAGAGCAGUUUCAAUGGAAUGAUGAGGUUGGAAGACAGAAUGCUGAAAGAGAGUAGGAGGAGAAGUGGAGCAGAACUGAAACUCCUUUUGGCGUGGCAAUGGGGCACAAUGGAUAGAAUGCUAGACUUACACUUGGAAGACCUCGGUUCGAAUCCUGCCUCCAACGUCUACUAGCUUUGUGACCAUGAGGAAGUCAGAUAGUAUAUAUAAACCACUGUAAACAUUAAAAUGCUCUAUAAUAUUAAUUUAUAUC
Molecule: non-coding RNA, 1084 nt
Organism: Phascolarctos cinereus (koala)
Lineage: Eukaryota; Metazoa; Chordata; Mammalia; Diprotodontia; Phascolarctidae
Source: RefSeq, a predicted model, not a curated record